AUUGAGCGCUGGCGGCAUGCUUUACACAUGCAAGUCGAACGGUAACAGGCCUUCGGGUGCUGCCGAGUGGCGCACGGGUGAGUAAUGCAUCGGAACGUGCCCAGAGGUGGGGGAUAACGCAGCGAAAGCUGUGCUAAUACCGCAUGUGAUCUGAGGAUGAAAGCGGGGGACCAAGCAGCAAUGUUUGGCCUCGCGCCUCUGGAGCGGCCGAUGUCAGAUUAGGUAGUUGGUGGGGUAAAGGCCUACCAAGCCGACGAUCUGUAGCUGGUCUGAGAGGACGACCAGCCACACUGGGACUGAGACACGGCCCAGACUCCUACGGGAGGCAGCAGUGGGGAAUUUUGGACAAUGGGCGCAAGCCUGAUCCAGCAAUGCCGCGUGCGGGAAGAAGGCCUUCGGGUUGUAAACCGCUUUUGUACGGAACGAAAAGGCUCUGGCUAAUACCUGGGGCUGAUGACGGUACCGUAAGAAUAAGCACCGGCUAACUACGUG
This 492-nucleotide ribosomal RNA is filed under the name uncultured bacterium. RNAcentral describes it as "partial 16S ribosomal RNA". It matches the Rfam family "Bacterial small subunit ribosomal RNA", at positions 30 to 507 of the family's 1533-position model. The record is from RNAcentral.